CGUAGGGCGCAAGCGUUGUCCGGAAUUAUUGGGCGUAAAGAGCUCGUAGGCGGUUUGUCGCGUCUGCUGUGAAAACCUAAGGCUCAACCUUGGGCUUGCAGUGGGUACGGGCAGACUAGAGUGCGGUAGGGGUGACUGGAAUUCCUGGUGUAGCGGUGGAAUGCGCAGAUAUCAGGAGGAACACCGAUGGCGAAGGCAGGUCACUGGGCCGCAACUGACGCUGAGGAGCGAAAGCAUGGGAGCGAACAGGAUU
Molecule: ribosomal RNA, 253 nt
Filed under: uncultured bacterium
Lineage: Bacteria
Description: partial 16S ribosomal RNA
Rfam family: Bacterial small subunit ribosomal RNA
Source: RNAcentral